AGACGGAGGGUCCUAGCGUUGUUCGGAAUGACUGGGCGUAAAGGGUACGUAGGCGGUUUGGUCAGUUAGAUGUGAAAGCCCAGGGCUCAACCUUGGAACUGCAUUUAAUACUGCCAAACUUGAGAUCGGAAGAGGAAAGCGGAAUUUCUAGUGUAGAGGUGAAAUUCGUAGAUAUUAGAAGGAACAUCAGAGGCGAAGGCGGCUUUCUGGUCCGAUACUGACGCUGCGGUACGAAAGCGUGGGGAGCAAACAGGAUUAGAUACCCCAGUAGUCC
This 274-nucleotide ribosomal RNA is filed under the name uncultured bacterium. RNAcentral describes it as "partial 16S ribosomal RNA". It matches the Rfam family "Bacterial small subunit ribosomal RNA", at positions 523 to 796 of the family's 1533-position model. The record is from RNAcentral.